AUUGAACGCUGGCGGCAGGCCUAACACAUGCAAGUCGAACGGUAACAGGAAGCAGCUUGCUGCUUUGCUGACGAGUGGCGGACGGGUGAGUAAUGUCUGGGAAACUGCCUGAUGUCGGGGGAUAACUACUGGAAACGGUAGCUAAUACCGCAUAAUGUCGCUAGACCAAAGAGGGGGACCUUCGCGCCUCUUGCCCUCUUGUGUGCCCAGAUGGGAUUAGCUAGUAGGUGGGGUAAAGGCUCACCUAGGCGACGAUCCCUAGCUGGUCUGAGAGGAUGACCAGCCACACUGGAACUGAGACACGGUCCAGACUCCUACGGGAGGCAGCAGUGGGGAAUAUUGGACAAUGGGCGCAAGCCUGAUGCAGCCAUGCCGCGUGUAUGAAGAAGGCCUUCGGGUUGUAAAGUACUUUCAGCGGGGAGGAAGGGAGUAAAGUUAAUACCUUUGCGCAUUGACGGUACCCGCAGAAGAAGCACCGGCUAACUCCGUG
Molecule: ribosomal RNA, 490 nt
Filed under: uncultured bacterium
Lineage: Bacteria
Description: partial 16S ribosomal RNA
Rfam family: Bacterial small subunit ribosomal RNA
Source: RNAcentral